RNAcentral lists this ribosomal RNA (465 nucleotides) under uncultured bacterium. Its description in RNAcentral is "partial 16S ribosomal RNA". It matches the Rfam family "Bacterial small subunit ribosomal RNA", at positions 28 to 507 of the family's 1533-position model. The record is from RNAcentral.
GACGAGCGCUGGCGGCGUGCUUAACACAUGCAAGUCGAACGGAAAGGCCCUGCUUGCAGGGUACUCGAGUGGCGAACGGGUGAGUAACACGUGGGUGAUCUGCCCUGCACUUCGGGAUAAGCCUGGGAAACUGGGUCUAAUACCGGAUAGGAGCCAUUUUUAGUGUGAUGGUUGGAAAGUUUUUUCGGUGUAGGAUGAGCUCGCGGCCUAUCAGCUUGUUGGUGGGGUAAUGGUCUACCAAGGCGGCGACGGGUAGCCGGCCUGAGAGGGUGGACGGCCACAUUGGGACUGAGAUACGGCCCAGACGCCUACGGGAGGCAGCAGUGGGGAAGAUUGCACAAUGGGCGCAAGCCUGAUGCAGCGACGCCGCGUGGGGGAUGACGGCCUUCGGGUUGUAAACUCCUUUCGCUAGGGACGAAGCUUUUUGUGACGGUACCUAGAGAAGAAGCACCGGCUAACUACGUG